AACGCACAUUGCGCCCGCCAGCAUUCUGGCGGGCAUGCCUGUUCGAGCGUCAUUUCAACCCUCAGGCCCCCGCCUCCGCGGCGCGGGGCCUGGCGUUGGGGAUCGGCCUCUGCCCCCGGGCGGACCGGCCGGCCCCGAAACACAGUGGCGGUCUCGCUGCAGCCUCCCUUGCGUAGUAGAAACACCUCGCACCGGAACGCGGCAAGGCCACGCCGUAAAACCCCCGACUUUUUUAUCAGGUUGACCUCGGAUCAGGUAGGAAUACCCGCUGAACUUAA
Molecule: unclassified non-coding RNA, 278 nt
Filed under: uncultured fungus
Lineage: Eukaryota; Fungi
Description: partial contains 5.8S ribosomal RNA, internal transcribed spacer 2, and large subunit ribosomal RNA
Source: RNAcentral